RNAcentral lists this ribosomal RNA (497 nucleotides) under uncultured bacterium. RNAcentral's name for it is "partial 16S ribosomal RNA". It matches the Rfam family "Bacterial small subunit ribosomal RNA", at positions 28 to 507 of the family's 1533-position model. The record is from RNAcentral.
GAUGAACGCUGGCGGCGUGCCUAAUACAUGCAAGUCGAGCGAACAGACGAGGAGCUUGCUCCUCUGACGUUAGCGGCGGACGGGUGAGUAACACGUGGAUAACCUACCUAUAAGACUGGGAUAACUUCGGGAAACCGGAGCUAAUACCGGAUAACAUGUUGAACCGCAUGGUUCAACAGUGAAAGACGGUCUUGCUGUCACUUAUAGAUGGAUCCGCGCCGCAUUAGCUAGUUGGUAAGGUAACGGCUUACCAAGGCAACGAUGCGUAGCCGACCUGAGAGGGUGAUCGGCCACACUGGAACUGAGACACGGUCCAGACUCCUACGGGAGGCAGCAGUAGGGAAUCUUCCGCAAUGGGCGAAAGCCUGACGGAGCAACGCCGCGUGAGGGAAGAAGGUCUUCGGAUUGUAAAACUCUGUUAUUAGGGAAGAACAAAUGUGUAAGUAACUAUGCACGUCUUGACGGUACCUAAUCAGAAAGCCACGGCUAACUACGUG